GUAACGGCGAGUGAAGCGGCAACAGCUCAAAUUUGAAAUCUGGCUUCGGCCCGAGUUGUAAUUUGCAGAGGAUGCUUCUGGCGCGGUGCCUUCCGAGUUCCCUGGAACGGGACGCCACAGAGGGUGAGAGCCCCGUAUGGUCGGACACCAAGCCUGUGUGAAGCUCCUUCGACGAGUCGAGUAGUUUGGGAAUGCUGCUCUAAAUGGGAGGUAAAUCUCUUCUAAAGCUAAAUACCGGCCAGAGACCGAUAGCGCACAAGUAGAGUGAUCGAAAGAUGAAAAGCACCUUGAAAAGGGGGUUAAAUAGUACGUGAAAUUGUUGAAAGGGAAGCGUUUAUGACCAGACUUGCGCCGGGCGGCUCAUCAGGGGUUCUCCCCUGUGCAUUCCGCCCGGCUCAGGCCAGCAUCGGUUCUCGUGGGGGGAUAAGACCGCCGGGAACGUAGCACCCUCCGGGGUGUGUUAUAGCCCGGCGGACGAUACCCUCGUGGGGACCGAGGUUCGCGCUCCGCAAGGAUGCUGGCGUAAUGGUCAUCAGCGACCCGUCUUGAAACACGGACCAAGGAGUCGUCCAUUAGAGCGAGCGUUUGGGUGUAAAACCCGCACGCGUAAUGAAAGUGAACGCAGGUGAGAGCUUCGGCGCAUCAUCGACCGAUCCUGAUGUUCUCGGAAGGAUUUGAGUAAGAGUUUUAACGGACGGACCCGAAAGACAGUGAACUAUGCUUGUAUAGGGUGAAGCCAGAGGAAACUCUGGUGGAGGCUCGCAGCGGUUCUGACGUGCAAAUCGAUCGUCAAAUAUGA
RNAcentral lists this ribosomal RNA (799 nucleotides) under Diaporthe sp. RNAcentral describes it as "eukaryotic LSU rRNA". It matches the Rfam family "Eukaryotic large subunit ribosomal RNA", at positions 83 to 914 of the family's 3401-position model. Lineage: Eukaryota; Fungi; Ascomycota; Sordariomycetes; Diaporthales; Diaporthaceae. The record is from RNAcentral.